RNAcentral lists this ribosomal RNA (417 nucleotides) under uncultured bacterium. Its description in RNAcentral is "bacterial SSU rRNA". It matches the Rfam family "Bacterial small subunit ribosomal RNA", at positions 917 to 1333 of the family's 1533-position model. The record is from RNAcentral.
GGGCCCGCACAAGCGGUGGAUUAUGUGGAUUAAUUCGAUGCAACGCGAAAAACCUUACCUGGCCUUGACAUGUACCGAAUUUAGCAGAGAUGCUUUAGUGCUCGUAAGAGAACGGUAACACAGGUGCUGCAUGGCUGUCGUCAGCUCGUGUCGUGAGAUGUUGGGUUAAGUCCCGCAACGAGCGCAACCCUUGCCAUUAAUUGCCAUCAUUUAGUUGGGCACUUUAAUGGGACUGCCGGUGACAAACCGGAGGAAGGUGGGGAUGACGUCAAGUCCUCAUGGCCCUUAUGGCCAGGGCUUCACACGUAAUACAAUGGUCGGUACAGAGGGCUGCUAACCCGCGAGGGGGUGCUAAUCUCAGAAAACCGAUCGUAGUCCGGAUUGUUGUCUGCAACUCGACAGCAUGAAGUCGGAAUC